RNAcentral lists this small RNA (327 nucleotides) under Histoplasma capsulatum. RNAcentral describes it as "hypothetical RNA". Lineage: Eukaryota; Fungi; Ascomycota; Eurotiomycetes; Onygenales; Ajellomycetaceae. RNAcentral also lists the same sequence under 1 other name. The record is from RNAcentral.
GUCGGCUAGCACAGCCACUAAACUUAAAUGGAAGCUCUGGAAGGGUUCUGGAAGGGUAAUGGAAGGCUGACUGGAAGGAUGAUGGAAGGAUUAUGGAAGGGUCGUGGAAACACAAUGGACAGGGCGUGGCCAAUAAUAGCCAAUUAAAGACGUCUUCCAAAAGACUAAAUUGCACGACCGGGGUUCUGACGACAGCAACUGGUUGGAACUUGACGCAAUUCCGUAGUGGAGGCUGCACGUUCGAAACGAAUCUGGCAGGAUUGGCCUUCGUAUUAUUCUUGAUGUGCGGAGAUAGGGUGCUGACUCCGUAUUUUCCAGGAAGGGGAG